RNAcentral lists this ribosomal RNA (481 nucleotides) under uncultured bacterium. Its description in RNAcentral is "partial 16S ribosomal RNA". It matches the Rfam family "Bacterial small subunit ribosomal RNA", at positions 30 to 507 of the family's 1533-position model. The record is from RNAcentral.
AUUGAACGCUGGCGGCAUGCCUUACACAUGCAAGUCGAACGGUAACGGGCCUUCGGGUGCCGACGAGUGGCGAACGGGUGAGUAAUACAUCGGAACGUGCCCGAUCGUGGGGGAUAACGAGGCGAAAGCUUUGCUAAUACCGCAUACGAUCUACGGAUGAAAGCAGGGGACCGCAAGGCCUUGCGCGGACGGAGCGGCCGAUGGCAGAUUGGGUAGUUGGUGGGAUAAAAGCUUACCAAGCCGACGAUCUGUAGCUGGUCUGAGAGGAUGAUCAGCCACACUGGGACUGAGACACGGCCCAGAACCUACGGGAGGCAGCAGUGGGGAAUUUUGGACAAUGGGCGCAAGCCUGAUCCAGCCAUGCCGCGUGCAGGAUGAAGGCCUUCGGGUUGUAAACUGCUUUUGUACGGAACGAAAAGCCUUCUUUUAAUACAGGAGGGUCAUGACGGUACCGUAAGAAUAAGCACCGGCUAACUACGUG